RNAcentral lists this ribosomal RNA (512 nucleotides) under Candida albicans. RNAcentral's name for it is "eukaryotic LSU rRNA". The stretch from base 145 to 298 matches the Rfam family "5.8S ribosomal RNA". Lineage: Eukaryota; Fungi; Ascomycota; Pichiomycetes; Serinales; Debaryomycetaceae. The record is from RNAcentral.
UGGCUACUGAUUUGCUUAUUGCACCACAUGUGUUUUUCUUUGAAACAAACUUGCUUUGGCGGUGGGCCCAGCCUGCCGCCAGAGGUCUAAACUUGCAACCAAUUUUUUAUCAACUUGUCACACCAGAUUAUUACUAAUAGUCAAAACUUUCAACAACGGAUCUCUUGGUUCUCGCAUCGAUGAAGAACGCAGCGAAAUGCGAUACGUAAUAUGAAUUGCAGAUAUUCGUGAAUCAUCGAAUUUUUGAACGCACAUUGCGCCCUCUGGUAUUCCGGAGGGCAUGCCUGUUUGAGCGUCGUUUCUCCCUCAAACCGCUGGGUUUGGUGUUGAGCAAUACGACUUGGGUUUGCUUGAAAGACGGUAGUGGUAAGGCGGGAUCGCUUUGACAAUGGCUUAGGUCUAACCAAAAACAUUGCUUGCGGCGGUAACGUCUACCACGUAUAUCUUCAAACUUUGACCUCAAAUCAGGUAGGACUACCCGCUGAACUUAAGCAUAUCAAAAUCGGAGGAAA